Small nucleolar RNA from Lemur catta (Ring-tailed lemur), 104 nucleotides. RefSeq annotates it as small nucleolar RNA U13. The record is from RefSeq and is a predicted model, not a curated record. The transcript has a single exon. Lineage: Eukaryota; Metazoa; Chordata; Mammalia; Primates; Lemuridae.
AUCCUUUUGUAGUUCAUAAGUGUCAUGAUUGGGUUUUCAUGUGCAUGUGUGAGACGUGUCUCCCUCAAACCUUGCUACAACAUUGACACAUUACUUGUCUAUCA